Molecule: ribosomal RNA, 465 nt
Filed under: uncultured bacterium
Lineage: Bacteria
Description: partial 16S ribosomal RNA
Rfam family: Bacterial small subunit ribosomal RNA
Source: RNAcentral
GAUGAACGCUGGCGGCGUGCUUAACACAUGCAAGUCGAACGGAAAGGCUCCUGCUUGCAGGGGUACUCGAGUGGCGAACGGGUGAGUAACACGUGGGUGAUCUGCCCUGCACUUCGGGAUAAGCCUGGGAAACUGGGUCUAAUACCGGAUAGGACGAUGGUUUGGAUGCCAUUGUGGAAAGUUUUUCGGUGUGGGAUGAGCUCGCGGCCUAUCAGCUUGUUGGUGGGGUAAUGGCCUACCAAGGCGUCGACGGGUAGCCGGCCUGAGAGGGUGUACGGCCACAUUGGGACUGAGAUACGGCCCAGAAUCCUACGGGAGGCAGCAGUGGGGAAUAUUGCAGAAUGGGCGCAAGCCUGAUGCAGCGACGCCGCGUGGGGGAUGACGGCCUUCGGGUUGUAAACUCCUUUCGCUAGGGACGAAGCGCAAGUGACGGUACCUGGAGAAGAAGCACCGGCUAACUACGUG